AACUGGGGAGCCAAUGAAAUUGGCUGAGAGUGAGGUGUGGUCCUCUUACUCAUGGAACCUGUGCGGUUAGUACCGGCGGAGGGAGUUUC
Molecule: non-coding RNA, 89 nt
Filed under: chicken gut metagenome
Description: TPP riboswitch (THI element)
Rfam family: TPP riboswitch aptamer (THI element)
About the family: Vitamin B(1) in its active form thiamin pyrophosphate (TPP) is an essential coenzyme that is synthesised by coupling of pyrimidine and thiazole moieties in bacteria.
Source: RNAcentral